This 253-nucleotide ribosomal RNA is filed under the name uncultured bacterium. RNAcentral's name for it is "partial 16S ribosomal RNA". It matches the Rfam family "Bacterial small subunit ribosomal RNA", at positions 524 to 776 of the family's 1533-position model. The record is from RNAcentral.
UACGUAGGGUGCAAGCGUUAAUCGGAAUUACUGGGCGUAAAGCGUGCGCAGGCGGUGAUGUAAGUCAGAUGUGAAAGCCCCGGGCUCAACCUGGGAACUGCAUUUGAAACUGGCGGGCUUGAGUAUGGCAGAGGGGGGUGGAAUUCCGCGUGUAGCAGUGAAAUGCGUAGAGAUGCGGAGGAACACCGAUGGCGAAGGCAGCCCCCUGGGCCAAUACUGACGCUCAGGCACGAAAGCGUGGGGAGCAAACAGG